UUCAUUGAUCUCAAUGUCCAACCUUAAUCACCUGACAAAAUCUCGUACCUAUAUAAACAAAUCAAACUCCACCUCAAACUAACCACAUCUCAAAACCAGACCAAACCAAAAUGAAUCCAUCAACUCUCCUCUUCACCAUUUCCUUCCUCUUCCUAUCAACCGCCGCCGCCUCCACCACCGGAGCGUACGUGAGUGCGGCGGUGAAGGAGAAGGUGCUUAAGAGUGUUAAGAAGGUUGGGACGUUCACUAGUAAUGCUUUGGCUCUCGCUGACAAGCUUAGCUAUUGACUGUAAUUUACUAGUUAAUUAAUUAUUUUUGGGUUGUGGUUAAUUUUUAUUAUUAGUUAAUAAUUGCGUACGUGAGUGCGGCGGUGAAGGAGAAGGUGUGGAAGAGUGUUAAGAAGGUUGGGACGUAUACUAGUAAUGCUUUGGCUCUCGUUGACAAGCUUAGCUAUUGACUGUAAUUUUUUACUUGUUAAUUAUUUGGGGGGUUGUGGCUAAUUUUAAUUUAUUAGUUAAUAAUUAUUUUGUGCUUUUUCUAUCUUUUUUACUUUUUUGAGUGUGUAAUUUGGUUUUGAUUAUUAGUUAAAUAACUAAUGACUUAAUUAAGAAUUAGUUUUUUUUAUAAUAAACAAACUAAGACAAUUAAGGCAUAAGGUGGGGACGAUCUCAAGUCAUUGUAAACAAUUUAGGUUGCCAUUGUAGGAUCGGAUACAUCAAUGGAGUAUGUUCCAAGAGGUAGGUUGUGGCCGCUGUUAUUAGAUUAAGCAAUGAAUACUCGGAAACUAAAUAAAUAAUUACAGAACUGAGGAUGAAUUUCGGAAAAGAUCAGAUAGAAUAAAACUAGAUUAUGACUGUUGCAAUAGAGCAGCGCCCUACGAAUUAGUUUCUGAUGAAAAUAGUUGUAAAUAGUUUAAAAACUAAUGACUUAGUUAAGAAUUAGUUUCAAUGAAGUAUCAAAAUGGACGAAAAUUGAACUUUCAUUAUCCAAGUACUGGGCCAUUGCCUCUGGGCUUCCACCAAUAUUAAAAAGCCCAACAAAUAUUGGAUAUCUGUGGACUGUGGCCCAAAGUGUCAUGUGAGUUUUAUUAGAAGUUCAAUGCUUGCUUAUUGGCCCAACCGAAGUAAGGUCGGUGAGUCGGUUUAGUGGCUCGACCAUUUCUAUUCCGAAAAUUCUUUAACGAAUAUUGUAAUAUGAUUCCCACAGCCACAUCAAUAAUUUUGAAAAUUACGUCAUUCAACAAUUUCAAUCCAUCUUCAUCCUCUUAAUUUUUUAACAGGUAAGGAUAGAAAAAUAAGAAGAAAGAACAUAGGGAAAAGAAGAUAAAAAUAGGUGUAGAGUUACAAAUUUAGUAAACAUUUAUGCAUUUGAAGUAAUUGCUAAAUGAAGUGUUAUUUUAUUCUCCGUGUUAUUUACAAUUUAGAAAUUAAGAUACUUUUAAAUACGAAGCUAAUUUCGUUAAAGCAGAUUGUACCGUGACUCGAAAUGGUCACAUUCCCAAAAUUUGUUUUGGCUAAAAUGUGUUGCAAGUUCGAAUCUAGUGAUGUUCAAGAAGUGUCUCAAGAAGUCAAACUAUGAACAAUUUCUUGCCCACAACUUGGAUGUCAGACUAAUCAAUCAAUUGGUAGUGCUUUAGAUAGUUCCUCAUCUGGCGCCGUGAUUUUCGCUGACUUGCAAGUUGCAACCUGUUUCUUACUGAUCGUACAAUGAUGUACACUUAAUGUUCUAAAUUGUGGGGAGGAAUUGUUGAAAUUCGAUUAUUAUUAUUUUUAUAACGAAAAAUCCCUUUCACGGAUCUAUUUAGUGAUAUUAUUUUUAGAAAAACUACAGCGUUGUGAGACAGUUCAGGUGACACGGGUGAUGAUUGUGCAUUAUGAAUUUUGAACGCAAAAUUUCUAAAAAUAAAGUCAAAUAUUAUAAUCACUCAAUUAUUAUUUUUUGAUACGAGCGCCAUUGGAUAAAAAUGUAAAACAGUUAAUUUAAACAUUACAAUAAAAAUAUCGAAAAAAUUAGAUAGAAAAUAAGUUGAAUUUUGGUCACACUUACUAUCAUUUUAAAAGCUUUGUAAUCUCUAAACCAAACCGAAAAAUGAAUCCAUCAACUCUCCUCUUCACCAUUUCCUUCCUCUUCCUAUCAACCGCCGCCGCCUCCACCACCACCACCGCCAGUACCAAAAAUUACAAAACCUACUUAAAAUCCGCAUGCUCAUCCGCCACGUACCCA
This 2223-nucleotide long non-coding RNA is filed under the name Linum usitatissimum (flax). RNAcentral's name for it is "long non-coding RNA (LUSI_LNC007752)". The record is from RNAcentral. Lineage: Eukaryota; Viridiplantae; Streptophyta; Magnoliopsida; Malpighiales; Linaceae.